UCGAACGGCAGCACGGAGCUUGCUCUGGUGGCGAGUGGCGAACGGGUGAGUAAUAUAUCGGAACGUACCCUAGAGUGGGGGAUAACGUAGCGAAAGUUACGCUAAUACCGCAUACGAUCUAAGGAUGAAAGUGGGGGAUCGCAAGACCUCAUGCUCGUGGAGCGGCCGAUAUCUGAUUAGGUAGUUGGUGGGAUAAAAGCUUACCAAGCCGACGAUCUGUAGCUGGUCUGAGAGGACGACCAGCCACACUGGGACUGAGACACGGCCCAGACUCCUACGGGAGGCAGCAGUGGGGAAUUUUGCACAAUGGAGGAAACUCUGAUGCAGCGAUGCCGCGUGAGUGAAGAAGGCCCUUGGGUUGUAAAGCUCUUUCGUCGGGGAAGAAAAUGACUGUACCCGAAUAAGAAGGUCCGGCUAACUUCGUGCCAGCAGCCGCGGUAAU
RNAcentral lists this ribosomal RNA (442 nucleotides) under uncultured bacterium. RNAcentral describes it as "bacterial SSU rRNA". It matches the Rfam family "Bacterial small subunit ribosomal RNA", at positions 62 to 524 of the family's 1533-position model. The record is from RNAcentral.